AUGGCCAGCCAUACUACCCUGAAUGCAUCUGAUCUCGGAAGCUAAGCAAGGUUGGGCCUAGUUAGUACUUGGGUGCGAGACCAAAGUGUGUGCUAUUGUUUGAUCUUUAGGGGCUUGCUUUU
Molecule: ribosomal RNA, 122 nt
Filed under: Propithecus coquereli (Coquerel's sifaka)
Lineage: Eukaryota; Metazoa; Chordata; Mammalia; Primates; Indriidae
Source: RNAcentral